ACCCACUGCUUCAGCCUCCAUACUUAUUUCCAAAAGAUGGGGCAGACACAACGCUGGGCACCCAUGGCCUAUGGUAGCUUAGUGCCAUCUCUCUACCCCGAGCUCUCAUUUAUCCACCUACCUUCUGUGACCUUUGAUGCCAGAAGUAAGUCAAUGGGUGUCCCUAAUAGGUGCUUGUAGGAACGGGGAAUGCUUGCUGUUCCGUGUCAUGCUGUCCAUUGGCACAGCCUGGGCUUAUCUUCUGCAGGGUCUAUAACCUCCUCAGACAGUACCACCAGCUGAAGAGUUCCUUGCCUUGACCGUCCGUGGAUGCCAUGGUGUGGGACCAGGCAGUGCCCAUGUUCGUUCAUUAUCCUUGUUCCCUGUCUUUGCACAUCGUUUUUCUUGUUCAGCUCUCCUUCUGUUUCCUGAGGUAUCUGUGUCCUCCUUCACUCUUGCUCCUGCCCCAUAGUGGGGGCGCUGUCCAUCAGGCAGAAUAAAGGAUCUUUGAAGAAUCUGCACAGAGAUUCAGGCCCCUGGUACCUUCAAAGGACCAUCAAAGACUGCUGGACCCAGUGGCACCAGGUGGACACUGGUAUGCCACAGAAAUUCCCAAGUUCACAGCACUGUCAGUGAAGGAAGCAUCUGUGGAGCCUCA
Molecule: long non-coding RNA, 637 nt
Organism: Onychomys torridus (southern grasshopper mouse)
Lineage: Eukaryota; Metazoa; Chordata; Mammalia; Rodentia; Cricetidae
Exons: 4
Source: RefSeq, a predicted model, not a curated record